Non-coding RNA from Dermatophagoides farinae (American house dust mite), 511 nucleotides. NCBI's taxonomy places the organism in Eukaryota, Metazoa, Arthropoda, Arachnida, Sarcoptiformes, Pyroglyphidae. The record is from RefSeq and is a predicted model, not a curated record.
UGCAUCAUUUUUUUCUUUUCAAUCACAAAUGGAAAAGAUUUUUUUUCUAAUUCAUUCUUUAAAAUGGUGCCAUAUUGAACAAUGAUCAUCAUCAUCAUCGUCAUCACAAGCAAUCAGACGAAUUAAAAGUACAAAAAAAAAAUUUCUUCCAGUAUACAAAACAAGAGAAAAAGUAGAAUGCACACACACACACUGCGAUAUCUUUGAUUGAUUGAUUGAUGAAUUCAAUGUCCAAUCAGUACAAACAAACUAACGAACGAACGAAAAAUGAAGAUUCAAAUUAACUAAUUAACUAUUAACUAUGACAAAACGUAUACUAUGUUCAAAAGACAAAUUCAAAGUACAAUACGCUCACUCAACAAAUGCACUCAAAUUGUUUUUGAAAAAAAAACAUUCAAAUCAUUCACACAUUAUUAUAAAUAGAAUCAUCAUCAAAUUAAUUUUAAUUUUAUAACAUUUUGGAUGAUACGAAGUUUACAAACGGGUGGUGGUGGUCCUCAUUCGGAUACCA